This 429-nucleotide ribosomal RNA is filed under the name Bacteroidota bacterium. RNAcentral describes it as "Bacteroidetes bacterium partial 16S ribosomal RNA". It matches the Rfam family "Bacterial small subunit ribosomal RNA", at positions 355 to 776 of the family's 1533-position model. The record is from RNAcentral. Lineage: Bacteria; Pseudomonadati; Bacteroidota.
UAGGGAAUCUUCGGCAAUGGGGGGAACCCUGACCGAGCAACGCCGCGUGAGUGAAGAAGGCUUUCGGAUCGUAAAGCUCUGUUGUUAAGGAAGAACGAGUGUGAGAAUGGAAAGUUCAUACUGUGACGGUACUUAACCAGAAAGGGACGGCUAACUACGUGCCAGCAGCCGCGGUAAUACGUAGGUCCCGAGCGUUGUCCGGAUUUAUUGGGCGUAAAGCGAGCGCAGGCGGUUAGAUAAGUCUGAAGUUAAAGGCAGUGGCUCAACCAUUGUAGGCUUUGGAAACUGUUGAGCUGGAGUGCAGAAGGGGAGAGUGGAAUUCCAGGUGUAGCGGUGAAAGGCGUAGAUAUAUGGAGGAACACCGGUGGCGAAGGCGGCUCUCUGGUCUGUAACUGACGCUGAGGCUCGAAAGCGUGGGGAGCGAACAGG